GAACGCAUCUUGCGCUCCUUGGUAUUCCGAGGAGCAUGCCUGUUUGAGUGUCAUCAAAUUCUCAACUACAAUGAUUUCUUCAGUGUAGCUUGGAUUUGGGGGACUUUGGCUUCUAGAAGUCAGCUCCCCUGAAAUUGAUUAGCGGUACCUUUGUAGACCAUCUACAGGUGUGAUAAUUGUCUACACCUUAGUUGUCUGAAUGCUGCUUCCAACUUGAGUUUUGGAACUCGUGACAAUCUUGACCUCAAAUCAGGUAGGACUACCCGCUGAACUUAAG
Molecule: unclassified non-coding RNA, 277 nt
Filed under: uncultured Inocybe
Lineage: Eukaryota; Fungi; Basidiomycota; Agaricomycetes; Agaricales; Cortinariaceae
Description: sequence contains 5.8S rRNA gene
Rfam family: 5.8S ribosomal RNA (bases 1-53)
Source: RNAcentral